CUCUGCGCAGGCUCUCCAUGCAAGUCGAGCGGGGAGUGCUAGCUUGCUACCUGACCUAGCGGCGGACGGGUGAGUAAUGCUUAGGAAUCUGCCUAUUAGUGGGGGACAACAUUCCGAAAGGAAUGCUAAUACCGCAUACGCCCUACGGGGGAAAGCAGGGGAUCUUCGGACCUUGCGCUAAUAGAUGAGCCUAAGUCAGAUUAGCUAGUUGGUGGGGUAAAGGCCUACCAAGGCGACGAUCUGUAGCGGGUCUGAGAGGAUGAUCCGCCACACUGGGACUGAGACACGGCCCAGACUCCUACGGGAGGCAGCAGUGGGGAAUAUUGGACAAUGGGCGAAAGCCUGAUCCAGCCAUGCCGCGUGUGUGAAGAAGGCCUUUUGGUUGUAAAGCACUUUAAGCGAGGAGGAGGCUACUGAGAUUAAUACUCUUGGAUAGUGGACGUUACUCGCAGAAUAAGCACCGGCUAACUCUGUGCCAGCAGCCGCGGUAAUACAGAGGGUGCGAGCGUUAAUCGGAUUUACUGGGCGUAAAGCGUGCGUAGGCGGCUUUUUAAGUCGGAUGUGAAAUCCCUGAGCUUAACUUA
RNAcentral lists this ribosomal RNA (584 nucleotides) under Culex quinquefasciatus (southern house mosquito). RNAcentral describes it as "bacterial SSU rRNA". It matches the Rfam family "Bacterial small subunit ribosomal RNA", at positions 36 to 616 of the family's 1533-position model. Lineage: Eukaryota; Metazoa; Arthropoda; Insecta; Diptera; Culicidae. The record is from RNAcentral.